Molecule: RNA transcript, 1541 nt
Organism: Equus quagga
Lineage: Eukaryota; Metazoa; Chordata; Mammalia; Perissodactyla; Equidae
Gene: ACOT7
Gene name: acyl-CoA thioesterase 7
Exons: 10
Source: RefSeq, a predicted model, not a curated record
GCGGCUAAGUCUUGGCUGGCAACUGGGUAAGCAGUCUGGCCCAUCACUCACUACAGGAUGAAGCUGCUUCCCUGGGCUCUCUGCCUUCGUGGGCUCAGCAGAUCGGCAGCCGCUUGGAAGUAUCUGGUGCCCAGGAGCUCCAAGGGGCCCAGGGAGAGAUGCUGGGCUUCCAUCUGGACUGUUGGAACCAAGUCUGAUCUGCUGUCUGAACCGUAUGUGACUGCAAGGAUCAUGCGGCCAGACGAUGCCAACGUGGCCGGCAACGUCCAUGGGGGAACCAUCCUGAAGAUGAUCGAGGAGGCGGGGGCCAUCAUCAGCACCCGGCACUGUAACAGUCAGAAUGGGGAGCGCUGCGUGGCUGCCCUGGCCCGGGUCGAGCGCACUGACUUCCUGUCACCCAUGUGCAUUGGCGAGGUGGCCCACGUCAGCGCGGGGAUCACCUACACCUCCAAGCACUCCGUGGAAGUACAGGUCAACGUGAUGUCCGAAAACAUCCUCACAGGUACCAAGAAGCUGACCAAUAAGGCCACGCUGUGGUAUGUGCCCCUGUCGCUGAAGAACGUGGACAAGGUCCUGGAGGUGCCUCCAGUCGUGUAUUCCCGGCAGGAGCAAGAGGAGGAAGGCCGAAAGCGGUAUGAGGCCCAGAAACUGGAGCGCAUGGAGACCAAGUGGAGGAAUGGCGACAUCGUCCAGCCCGUGCUGAACCCAGAGCCGAACACGGUCAGCUACAGCCAGUCCAGCUUGAUCCACCUGGUGGGGCCUUCGGACUGCACGCUGCAUGGCUUUGUGCAUGGAGGUGUCACCAUGAAGCUCAUGGAUGAGGUGGCUGGGAUCGUAGCUGCUCGUCACUGCAAGACCAACAUAGUCACGGCUUCCGUGGACGCCAUUAACUUUCAUGACAAGAUCAGAAAAGAAUUGGCCGUAUCCGACAUGAAGGAGUCCCUGGUGUGUCAUCACCAUCUCUGGGCGCAUGACCUUCACAAGCAACAAGUCCAUGGAAAUCGAGGUCCUGGUGGAUGCUGACCCUGUGGUGGACAACUCGCAGAAGCGCUACCGGGCUGCCAGCGCCUUCUUCACCUACGUGUCCCUGAGCCAGGAGGGCAAGCCACUGCCCGUGCCCCAGCUCGUGCCCGAGACCGAGGAUGAGAAGAAGCGCUUUGAGGAAGGCAAAGGGCGGUACCUGCAGAUGAAGGCGAAAAGACAGGGGCAAGUGGAGCCUCAGCCCUAGACGCCCUCCUCCUGCACUGGCCCCGGAGCAGCCCCCAUCGUCUAAUCACUUAGAAGUUACUCCCUUGGCCAAAAACCCAAUUCACGUUGAGAGCUGGUGUUGUGUGAAGUAUCCGUCUCGCAGUGUUAACCUGUACUCUCCUGAAAACCUAUACACCAAAGCUUGAUUUGUAUCAUUCCAGUGUAAAUGCUACACAGUAUUGUCCCAAUGCCCAGAGGCAGUCCCUGGAGACCCUGGGAAUACUUGUGCGCACACUGUGCGGUCUGUAAAGAAUCCAGCAUCACUAAUAAAGCUGCUGUUUGGCUGGACCUUG